Molecule: non-coding RNA, 115 nt
Organism: Triticum aestivum (bread wheat)
Lineage: Eukaryota; Viridiplantae; Streptophyta; Magnoliopsida; Poales; Poaceae
Source: Rfam
CUACUACUCCCUCCGUCCGAAAAUACCUUUCAUUGAAAUGGAUGUAUCUAGAUGUAUUUUAGUUCUAGACACAUCCAUUUUGAUGACAAGUAAUUCCAGACGGAGGGAGUAUUAU